GCCCGGUUAGCUCAAUCGGUAGAGCGUGAGACUCUUAAUCUCAAGGUUGCGGGUGAGUAAAUGGCGCUACCUAGUA
Nemania sp. FL0031 is the source of this 76-nucleotide non-coding RNA. The record is from the annotation of a GenBank genome assembly. Lineage: Eukaryota; Fungi; Ascomycota; Sordariomycetes; Xylariales; Xylariaceae.